AUACCAUCCCGAGCGGCCGAGAGAUCUGGCUCGUCGACGCCGCAGCAACCCACCGAUCCGUCGGAAGGGUGCUACCGCCAGGAUCGAUGGAGU
This 93-nucleotide non-coding RNA is filed under the name Tersicoccus sp. Its description in RNAcentral is "SAM-I sequence". It matches the Rfam family "SAM riboswitch aptamer (S box leader)". Rfam says of the family: The SAM riboswitch is found upstream of a number of genes which code for proteins involved in methionine or cysteine biosynthesis in Gram-positive bacteria. The SAM riboswitch acts at the level of transcription termination control. The record is from RNAcentral. Lineage: Bacteria; Bacillati; Actinomycetota; Actinomycetes; Micrococcales; Micrococcaceae.